GCGGAGGAAAAGAAACCAACAGGGAUUCCCUUAGUAACGGCGAGUGAACCGGGAAAAGCUCAAAUUUGAAAUCUGCCAACAGGCCGAGUUGUAAUUUGUAGAUGGCUACACUGCAUAAUAGUAGAUGCUCAAGUUCUUUGGAAAAAGACAUCAUGGAGGGUGACAAUCCCGUGAGGCAUGUUACUAGGAGCAUAUAGUGGGCUUUCUAAGAGUCGAGUUGUUUGGGAAUGCAGCUCAAAGUGCGUGGUGAAUACCAUGUAAAGCUAAAUAUGGACGAGAGACCGAUAGCGAACAAGUACUGUGAAGGAAAGAUGAAAAGCACUCCGAAAGGAGAGUGAAAUAGUACGUGAAAUUGUUAAAGUGGAAGGGCUUGAGAUCAGAAUUGGUAGUUUGGGUUCCACGUCCUCUUGGGGGCGUGUACUCCCUUUCCACCGGGCCAGCGGGAGUUUCGUCUCUUGGGUAAAAGCAGUGGAAUGUAGCAGCUUGUCUGUAUUAUAGCCUCUGUUCAUACAAGACGUCGAGACUUGUUUUUGUUGGCGUAAUGAUCUCUAGCCACCCGUCUUGAAACACGGA
Molecule: ribosomal RNA, 573 nt
Filed under: Wickerhamiella pararugosa
Lineage: Eukaryota; Fungi; Ascomycota; Dipodascomycetes; Dipodascales; Trichomonascaceae
Description: eukaryotic LSU rRNA
Rfam family: Eukaryotic large subunit ribosomal RNA
Source: RNAcentral